GGAGGGAGAAAUGUCACCCGGAGUCCCGGCCCGCGGGGGAGAGGUGGCGCGUUAGAGAUGUGUGUGGGGGAGAGAGAGAGAGGGGGAGCGAGACCUCCGCCGGCCCCGCGGACUUGUCAAGUUGAGAACAGCAAGCUUUUGGGCUCAAAAAGCUUAGACCAUCAUGGCUACGAAAACUGCUGCUACUCAGAAAAUAUGUAAUUCUGGAGCUCCUUAGUGAAAAAGUAGUGCAAAGAAACAUCAGAGCAGUUGCCAAGUGAUCUUCUCCACAGCACCCAUGAGCUUCAGCCUUGAACUGAAGAGGACUCAUCAAAUGCCUUAGGAGAGACAGCAUGGAAUUGCAAGAGAAGCAGGCAUCUCCAUGAAGGGCAGUCAACUACAGUCUUGGUGUGUGGAGGAACAGGUCCUGGUCUCGCUGUUGUUACUCCCACAUAGGCGGACUCUGUAACUGAUUAUGUGUGGGUAGGGCCCUAUUGAAAUUAAGGAGAUUCUGCAGUAGUGCAGGGUUCUUUUUGUGAAAGUUCAGUUGCAAGAUCAGGACCCUACUGUGACUCCUUACUGUGAAUUCUGUCAGUGUAUCAUUGAUUGUGCUGGAACCUGCCUUUUGGGAUAAUGUAAGUCCUGCUUUUCCCCCACAUGUACUUUAGACAUGAAAUAAUCAUAAAACAUUUCUAAUUAGAAAAUUAAUAUAAUUUACAUGCAUUCUUUUAAUUAUGUUUUUUUGGCAGUACCAAAUAAUAUAUUCCUCAAAACUUCUUAAUGGCACUGAGGCUUUGUGGAUAGUUGCUCACAUGAUGAGAAAAUUCAGCUAUCCUGCAGUUCACAUGGCUGGCAGACACAGAAAUAAUUUCCCAAAUGAAAAUGGAAGAUGCAAAACCCAUGAAGAUUGCGUUGAAGAGUAAUACUGAACAAAAGGAAGUCUGAGACCACUGAAUACAAAUCAGAUCAUUUAUUUGAAAAGAUAGUUGAAGAGACAACGAACAAAAAUGAUCAUCAAUAAGGAUAAAGAAUUUUACCUGUUCAUGCAAGCAGUACUCUUACUCUGCUUACACUACUUGAUCGUCUGGCAGGAAGCUGGUUUCAGCAUCGUCAAUACCCUUUUUCCUUGACUUCUAAUUCUAUCUAGCACAUGCUCUUCAGGUCUGCUUUACCUGUAGUGCUGAGCUGUUGCAAUAGCUUGUUUUUUUAUGACUUGCAUCAAGUGUGAAGCUUUCAAAGUCAUGUGUUAAAGUGUGAUACGGAUUUAUUGACUUUGCGGUGGACACUCAAGCCAGUGAAACCAGUGGGCGUGCAGGCAGUUGCAGCAGCCCGGAGAUCUCGGUUUUCUCCCCCUCUCCUAAAUGCUGCUGUUAAAACGCUGGCGGUGUGGUGACUCGUCUCCAGCUGCUGCUGCUGUCAUUCUUCCCCAUAAAGAAACAAAAGGGUGUUGGGGAAAACAUCUGAAGGAGAAGAAUAUGUCCUCAGGAUUAUAAUUUCUUCAUGAUAAUAGAUAAUUGGAAUUUCAGUCCUAUCUUCCAGUGAGCUGGCAGCCUCUAUUAGCAUGGGAUUAUCUGCAGUAAUGGGUGAGCGUGGUAUCUUGAGACCCUGGUGUUUGAGCCAAGUGACAUUCAGAUGCUAUUUGUAGCAAAAGAAAAAGAAAAGAGUUGGAUCCCUGGAACACACCAAAAGAAAAAUAAACUAUGAAAAUAUGACUUUUUUUCAGAUAUGUGAUGAAAGUGCACUGAAAAUGUCCUGCACAGGGGCAGGGGAAAUGCAACAUGCAGCCAGAGGUCUGAAACCUACAGUCAUUCACUUGGUCAUCCUCAGCAGGGCAUGACAAGAUGAAAAAAUGUUAGGGAAUUGAUAUACAUUAGUAUAAUUUAUAUUUAGAGGUGUACAGUGUACACCAUGUCACAUCACACUUUGUAGUCAGAAGAGAGGAGUAGGUACUUUGAGUAUACAAUUCACCUAAUCUGUUUUAGAGAGGAGUCGCACCCAGAAAUGCCCACUUAUGUAGAGCAUGGUCUGACAGGUCAGAAGUAGACAUCUGUAUUUUAGAUGUCUGAUGUUAAGUUAUGCAAUUUUUGCUUUUUGUGUCAGGAGCAUAACGAGUCACUUCUGGUCUCUAUUCGUGGAGGCAAAAUCUCCAUAUUGGGAAUGUCCCAUUGAUCUGGAUUUUAGGAAAGCUUGAUUAUCGGCAGGGCACUAUUUAAAUGUACAGUAUCCAAAUGCUUCCUGUUAUAAGCCCAUAUAUAAUAAUGAGCUUUUUAUCUGCUGGACAUAUGACUUCUCUUAUAACUGCCAUCAUUCCUCUUGUUGCCUAGCUAAGAAUUGCAGGUUUAGAUAGAGCCUCUCUGAGUCCUGAGAAAAUCUUAAGAGGAAGGAAGGCUUUAUGGCUCACAUUGGGGAGUUCCUAUUAAGAAAUUGCCACUGUCAGAGUUCUUGUCAUCAAAAAGCCCUAUCUGUGAGACAUAGAAGUUAAUCUCAAUAGAUUUCUAAUGCAGAUUUACUAAGUAGUGUUAAGCGCCUGUGCAGAUACUUAUUCAGAGUUUAAAUCCAACUUCACUUGGUUGUUCCAGAUUAAUUUUCUCAAAGCACCUUGUUUAGACAAAUCCUGAACAUGUCUUUGACCUGAUAACAGAGCUAAACCAUCUGUGCUAGAAUAUCUGUGGAUCCGGAUGGUGAGUGUCACUGAUGGAGUUCCAGAAGACAGUGCCUGACCCAGAGCCACUGGCUUCUAUGUUGCUACUGGAGGGGUUAUAGAAGCCAAAAACGGCAGGGGGAUUUUACUGUAAUCUGAUAGAUCUGAUGACCUUGUUAAUUUAUAAGGUCACGAAUAUUAAAGUCUGCUGGCAUGUGUGACUACUCUUUUAGGCUUGGUAAAUAAAGCCGAGUAUGCUGAACAACAAUUUUCAAGGGGGUUUUCCCAAGGCACAGGGAAGAGCCAUUGUAUGUAUCCAACUAUAGCAGUAUGCAGAGCAUGAGACACACCAUUUACACUAGACUUUCCCCCCAGAGUUCUAUGAUGCAGAUAAGACUGUCCUGGAGCUGAAUUGGGAAAUUCAAGUGAGUACUAAAACUUGGUGAAAACUCGUAAGAAAUAGAUAACAGUAACGACAAUUAAUUGCAGAAAGGAACAGGCAUAGACAGGUGAAGCCCACACAGAUGUAAAACAACACUUGGGUGUAAAAUGUUAAUUGCCGCGUUUAUGUUUCUCUUCCUCCCAAGCAUUGCUUUGCUGGAAUGCUCCUUAGUAUUGCCAUAAGACCCCAUGGAAGUGAUCUGCACAUGCUUGGGCCAUCUAGAACAAAUUACAAGGUAUUUUUUUGACCCUGGACACAAAGUAAUUGAAAUAUAAUGUCAGAAAAUUGCCUUAAUUCAGAGCAAAUGAUUGGCAUAAUUUCUGAACCACAUUAGAAGAUUAUGAAGUUGCCGUUUUCAUGGUAAUCCCCCAAUCCAUCUGUUUUGAAAAGGUUGAAGAAUGAGAUCAUACUUCUCGGUCUGUGUUAACACUAUUCUGCAGGGAAUUCACUGAAGAAAAAGCGAUCUUUACAUAUGACAGAGAUGAUACCGCUGCAUGCUUUCAAGUUUUCUUUGGUACCUUUGUUUCUGGGAAUUUACAGGCAAUUUAAAAAGAUACAAAAAUACUGCAUGAAAUUGCAUGCACAGUUUUGUAUCACUCUUUGCUAUGUAAUAUGCAUAUAUUUACUAUACUAAGUAAUUAAUGUGGCUGUAAAUGCAAGACUGCUUUUUAUACAUUAAAAUGAUGACAUUCCUCAGUUGGUAUUUACAGAUUCACUAAAAAUGUAGUUAUGCACUUUUUUUAAUUUGCAAGUGGUCCCCUCCCCCCUCCUCUGAUAAAUAACACAGGAGCACUAGCGACAACCGACAUGGAGAAGGCUGAGCUACUCAGCAAUUUUUUUUCCUCAGUUUUCAAUGGUAAUCUCUCUUCCUACAUCUCUUAAGCCCGUGAACUUCAAAGCAGGGACUGGAGGGAUGAAGUCCCUUCCAUUGUAAGUGAAGAUCAGGUUCAAGACCGCCUGAGGAACCUGACCAUAUAUAAGUCAAUGGGAUCCGAAGAGCUGCACACCAGGGUCCUGAGGGCUGAUGUUGCCAAGCCACUCUCCAUCAUCUUAGAAAAAUCGUGGCAGUUAGGCAAAGUCCCCUGUGACUGGAAAAAAGGAAAUUCCAUGUCCAUUUUUCAAGAGGGUAAAAAAGAGGAUGCUGGUAACUACUGACAAGUCAGGCUCAGCUCUGUGCUCAGUAAGAUCAUGGAGCGGAUCCUCCUGGAGGAUAUAUUAAAACACAUGGAAGACAGGGAGGUGAUGAGAGAGAUCCAGCAUGGCUUCACCAAGGGCAAAUCGUGCCUGACUAAUUCAGUGGCCUUGUGCCAUGGAGUGGUUGCAUCAGUGGACAAGGGAAGAGCUACGGCUGUCAUCUACCUGGACUUCUGUAAGUCCUGUGAUAUGAUUCCCCACAACAUUCUUACCUCUAAAUUGGAGAGAUACAGGUGUGAUGGAUGGACUGUUAGAGGGAUAAGGAGUGGACUGGAUGGCCAUGUCUGAAGAGUUGGAGUCAAUGGCUCAAUGUCCAAGCAGAAACCAGUAAUGAGUAGUGUCUCUCAAGCAGUCUGUACUGGGACCAAUAUUAUUUAAUAUCUUAAUCAAUGACAUAGACUGUGGGUUGAGUGCACCCUCAGAAAGUUUGUAGAUGACACCAAGCUGAGCAGUGCAACUGAUUCACUAGAGGAAAAGGAUGCCAUCCAUAGGGACCUUGACAGACUUGAGGAGUGGGCCCCUGCACACCUCUUGAGGUUCAACAAGGCCAAGCGCAAGGUCCUGCACAUGGGUUGGGACAAUCCCCAGUAUCAAUACAGGCUGGGGGAUGAAGGGAUUGAGAGCAGCCCUGCGAAGAAGGACUUUGGGAUAUUGGUGGAUGAAAAAUUGGACACAAGAUGACAAUGUGCGCCUGCAGUCCAGAAAGCCAACUGUAUCCUGGCCUGCAUCAAAAGAAGCGUGGCCAGCAGGUCAAGGGAGUUGAUUCUGCCCCUCUACUCCGCUCUCAUGAGACCCCACCUGAAGCACUGUACCCAGCUCUGGGGUCCUCAGCACAGGAGAGACAUGGACCUGUUGGAGUGGGUCCAGAGGAGGGCCACAAAAAUGAUCCGAGGGCUGGAGCACCUCUCCUAUGGGGACAGGCUGAGAGAGUUGGGGUUGUUCAUCCUGGAGAAGAAAAGGCUCCAGAGAGACCUUAUUGCAGCCUUUCAAUAUACAAAGGGGGCCUGUAAAAGGCAGAGAGACUUUUCACUUAGGCCUAUAGUGACAGGACAAGAGGUGACAAUUUUAAACUGAAAGAGGAUGUGUUUAGAUUGGACAUAAGGAAGAAACUUUUUAUGAUGAGGAUGUGAGGCAGUAGAACAGGUUGCCCAGAGAUUGUGGAUGCUUCAUCCCUGGAAGUGUUCAAGGUCAGGUUGGAUGGAGCUAUGAGCAACCUGGUCUAGUGAAAGGUGUCCCUGCCCAUGGCAGGGAGGUUGGAUUAGAUGAUCUUUAAAGGUCCCUUCCAACCCAAACUUUUCUGUGAUUCUAUGAUCUAUUUUUAAAAUGUAUCUAUUUAAAAGAGAAUGUUUUUGUCUUAAAAAUAGGUCAAUAUUACUGGGUGGUGUUAUUUAAAAGAAUGAGGUAAGUCAGUGUAUCCUAAUUCUGGAUAUGGCACACUCUUGUAGUCAAAGGCAAGUUUUAUUUUUGCAGAUCUUUCUAUCAGUGAGGUCAUCCACUCCUUCCCACUGAUCAGAGCAGAAUUAAAUAUACCUGUGUUCUCCUUAAAGGAUACUUGACUAACCUGAUUUCCAAAACCUCCACGAAUGGAGAUUUCAGAAUCUCUCAAGAUGGUUCACUCCACUGUUCAAUCAUUUUAGAAAACUGCCCUCCACCAUUCUUCUAGCUUUACUUUUAUUUUCCAUCUUUCCUGACAUGCAGUGCCCAAAAGUGCAUGCGAUGUAACCUGUGCCAAAUAGAAUGGAAAGAUUCCUUUGUGUGCCUUGUCAGGUGUACAUUCCCUCAUAUUACGACUGCUUUUUUUCAUAACAAAAUGACACUGUUGGUUAAUCUGCAGUUUAUUCAGCUAUAAUCCUAGGGUAUUUUUCUCAGAGCUGCUCCUUAGCCUAUCAUCCCCCAUGCUUCAUGUGCUGCCUAAGUGUAGAGCUUUAUUCUCAUCUCAGUAGAAUUGCCUCCUAUUCUUUUCAGACCAUUUCUCCAUUUUGUUAAUAUCAUUUAGUUCACUGCUAAGCUAGUCUGGAAUAUUCACCUAUCUACCAGUGAAAGUUUUGAGGCCUGGGAGAGAUUUUAGAUGCUUACCUUUGGGGUAGGUGUCGACAUGUGAGUUGGGUGUCUAAAUGCUCUUUGUAGUUGAACUAGUCAGUACAAUCAGUGGUGCUUAGAGACAAUUCAUCUCACUGUUACGCAGAUAUCUACAUUUGGUCAGCUGACAUUCGUUGUACCCUUCAUCAUUAACUAAUGUUAAUUCAGUGUAAACAUAUCAAGGGAGGUCUGUAGGCCUACUCUAGCUUGGAAGACAAUAUGAAAUAAUAUAAUAAAGCUCUCCAGGAAAGACAUUAUAGCAAUUUUAUAGCUUGUACAGUAGGAACUGGAAGUAGGAGCCCCAAUUACGCCUUCCUUUCUCAUCUUUUUGUUCACAUGGAACAGCUCUGCCUCUCACCUGCCUACUCCUAGUUUUUAAUUAUGAAAAUAUUAUGGAGGAAACUUGUUACAAAGCAAGAUGAAAAGCUUAUUUUUCUCUGAAUCUGUUAAAUCACAGAGCAUAUACUUUCUCUGCACAGGACUCCAUCCAAGGGUGAAAAGCAGCCCCAAACUCUGCAAAUCCCUGCCUUUUGGCUCCUUGGCAGAGAAGUGCAUCAGUCCUAGUGUUUGCUUGGAUAGUUAGGGAUAAUUUGUUACUACCGUACUUCACAGUUGCUUUUUUUUUUUUUUUUUAACAGUAGGUGUUUCUCUGUGUUUGUUGGCAAAUAAAUAAAAUAGUAGUUAAUAUGUGUGCCAUUUCUUUUAAUAGUCAGCUUUAUGAAAUUCCCAGGCUUUAAGCCAUAUGUGAAAGAACUAUGACAUGGUGGCCAUAAUCUAUGUUCGGCUCUUGAGAAAUAGGCCACACUCCUUGCAGCUGUGCAGUUUGCCAUUCAUUGUGAAUGCCCAGAGAAGACUUGGGUGUCAAAACUGUUAGUCUUUGUAAUGUGGAAGACCAUGAUGAUAGUAUCACCUCCUAGGUGCUUCUGCACCAUAAGGCACCGAUGUUUUCUUCUUCUGAAAUGCAGAUGUCUAGGGUGGGAUUCUUCUAAUCUAAAUGUAGAGGUCUGCAAUAUGGAGGUUUGUAUCUAACCAUGUCAUCUUAGGUAACAUUUAUGGUUAAUGGAGGGGAAUAUGUAAUUCUGGGGAAUUAUUCAUCUGACCUGUUUUUGGCAUUUCCUUUAUGAUGAGAAGAACCACAUGCGAGAAUUAUCUGUUCCUCUCCUCUAGUGUCCUGUUAAUGAGGGGGCUGAGGCCACCCACUGUCACCAGCUGCAUGCAAGACCAGUGUUUCCAGAAGACCAGUACUGUAGCAGCAGACUGCUGUCACAGAGGCCUACAGAGAAAGGGAGGACAGCCCUUAGCUAGCUUUUCAGUCCUCCUCAUUGAUACCAAGCAAGAAAAGGGCACAAAAGACUGAGGCUGAGUGAGCCAGUGCAUUGCAUCUGGCACUGCAACAGGCAGUGGAAGUUCAACUCUCAGAAGCAAAAGCAAAACUCAUUUUAGUUCUUAGAUCUUUGGUAUCUUCCCAGUCACUGAUAAAACUGUAAUCUUUAAGGAAUGUCCCAAUAUUUUUGUCUGAUACUAUAUAUCCUCCUUCUGCCCCUGAUUGCUGUUGAUGUUCUCAGAUGAUAUUGAAGUGCAAAAAACCACAUUUCUAGGGAGGAAGUCCUCUCCUCGGCUUUCCAUUUGGCUACAGGAAGUAUUUUUCAUCACAGGUUGCAGUGAGGAGCUACAAUCCAGACAAUCCUUCUGGUGUCUUUGUUGUCAGGAAAAAUGAUCUAUCAAAGCCCAUUUAGAGGAAACUUCAGCCAGACACUUAUGAGUGCUGAUCCUUUGUUGUUUUCUCAUUAUGUGGUUCCUAGGUUUCUAAAGGUCUUGACAUACAUUCUCUACCAAUAAGAAAAAAACCCUCCUCAUGAGAUUUAAGCAUGUUGCUUUUAUCUUUAAUGGAGCCAUGUUUGAGCGUCUGUCAUCAUGUUCACUAAAUCAUCUGUCAAUGAAAUCCACAUUUUUAGUAGCCAUUACCUCAGCUCAGGGAUAAAUAAAGUUCUAUCUUUUAUGUCUAAUCCUCCAUAUUAUUUUCAGGUGGAUAGGAUAACACUGAGGCCACAUCUUAAAUUUAUUCUAAGGGUGGUUUCAGAUUUCUUAUUUAUCAGUAUAUCCACUUACCAAUAUUUUUUCCCAUGACCCAGUUCACUUGUAGAAGGAUCAAAAUGUUGAUCCUUCUUGAACGUAAUGCCUUAGCCAGACAAAGCUCUUCUGUAGAUCUGUGAUGCUUAUUGGUCUCAAACAGCCUUUGUAGUUCAGGAUCAAAUCUAAGAAGAUACGAAAUGAGUUAUCAGACUUUAUCAGAGCCACAUUUGAUGUUAUCAGGUUAGAUCCAACCAACCUAUCUCAAGGCAUAUACAACUAGAGCACAAGGUACUGCCACAGCCUGUGCUGGCAGAGUGCCAGUAGCUGAGAGCUGUAGAGACACCACACGAUCGCUGAUACAAAGCAGUACUCGGGCUGGUGGAACAAAGGCUUGAAGGACACUGAUUCUUCAGUCUUUGUUCCAAUGAAUAGCUCGCAUUUACUGGUGUGACUGACUGCACUCCUUAGGAAACAUCCAGAGUUUCACAGGUGCCAGAACUUGAAGAAAGAAGAGUGUUUGCCUUUGUUACUGUAAUUCUUCCACGUGUUCUUCGUAGCUACCACAACCGGCCCUGCUGUUCCCCGAGUCGAAGGCUUGUCGUGUGGACUGAGAGCUGCUGAAGAACUGGAUGGUGAUCUGUUUGCAUGCUUGUGGGAGGAAAAGCAAAGAUGCAUAAGGAAAGUACAAUGUGGUUUGUCCUUGAAUUAAACAAUUUAGUGUUCGGACCUAAUCCGGAAUCACGUCGCUACUUUAGGUGGUGUUUUGUCUCUCAAAAGCUCAUGGACUGCUAAUUUUCGGUGUGGCUCAUGGAGGUGACAAGGGGAACUGUUGUGGUUCUGGAUCUGUAUCGUGUUUGGGGGUCGAAGUCCUGUAUAGCACUAACCAUUCUUGAAGGAAGGAGUGGUGUACACCUCCUCUGCUGCCCCGCGGUCCAGGCAUGGAGACUGUCUGCCCAGGAAUGAGCAUGAUGGGAGAACUGAAGGAAAAGAGAUGUGAAGUUAUCUGCUGAAAGCCGUAAAGGGAGCCAGUGAUAAAUCCAGGAUGAAAAGCCAAGCCUGUGUGGUGUUUAGUUGCUGACUGGGGCUAAACCACGACACCAGCCCAAUGCAGUCUAAUACUGUAAUCAACAAGAAAGUUUGCUUUCUGAUGUUGCAAUGAGGUGUGCCAUAGCAAUACCUAUAAACUAAUAAUUUACCCAAGGGGAACAUAUUUGAAAGUGUAUAUUUGCCUAUGCUCUUGUAAAUAAUUCAAAAGAAUUCCCUGAAUUCUAAUUCUGAAUUGAAUUUAUAAUACUGUUUUCUUCAAAACUGGGCAUUUUUUCACAAAUAUUUCUUCGUAAGUCAUGUUUAAAACAUACAGUUCUCAAAAUCUGAUUUAUUAAAAUUACCACAAGUUAAUGUCCAAAAAAAUCCCAGAGUAGCUUCAAUAAUUCAUAUUUCUAGAUAUUUUAGAGUCCAGCUUCAGGGUUUUCUUCAGGCUCCUGAGCACCUACACUUUAGCUUGCCUUUAUAGAAGACAGUGGAUAGUUGGCAUCUCAGAAAAAGGGAGUUGUGUAUUCCCAAUGAGGGUGUUCUUAGCAUUGGAAAUCACUUUUGGAAAUAUUGCUGCAAAUGUCUUGGAAGCAUCAAAAGCUCAAGUCUGGCUCCAGUUUAGCUGGAGGAGAGGCUGCUCCAAUAGACCCAGGCAGCAGAGGUGCUGUGAAUAUGGAAGCCCGUUACAGAGCCUAAUGCUGGCUGGUGUAUUGAGGAGUGUUUGUCACAGUUUUGGCAAAGGUACAACUUGCUUUCCGUCUCUCCAAGCUAUGUCCUCCUAUAGGAGUCAGGAACAUGUGCACAAUGCUUCUCUUUGAGAUGCUAAUCUUUUAGGGUGUUAAGCACCAACAGUUGCAUUAGCAGCUGGUUUUACUCGCACUCAAGGGUUUGAAGCAGCACAGCAGCUUUUUGCGCAGGAUAGGGAGGGUUUCCUUCUGGUUUUCACCUCAAUCUGACAUAUUAAUGCUGUGCGCUUCCCAAAAUAGUGCUAGUGUCCAACACUGAAACACCAUUGAAGCAUUGUCUUAGUAGUAGGUAGCUUGGUGAUUUAUUAAAAGCAAAUUGGAAAACUAUAUUACUUCUACAACACCCUCCUUAUAGCACCUUCACAGUUACCAAAUCUUUAUUUUCAGUAGUUUGCUUGGGCACGGGUGAUGAGCAUGCUCAGAGAAUAUGUCAAGUUAGCUACGAUCAAAGCUAUAAAGUAUCUGCAAUUCAUCCAUGCUUCUCCCACCAGCAGGUGUCAUUCUGGAAAAAGGAAAAUAUUGUAAAUUCCUGAACUGGAGAAUUUGGCUGUGACAAAGAAAGAAAAAAAAGUUUGCUUAAAAUAUAGCUUUUGAAGGAUACUUUACUCCAAAUAAACCAAGAGAAAGUUGGCUGGUCUGCAUUUUUUAAUAAUCUCUGCGCAGCGUGUAAUCCUGACAUAUAACCAACAAAGGAGAGACGAUUGUGGCUGAGCUGAACCUGUGCGUGAGUUGGGAGCUGCUGUUGCUGAGGGUAUGCACCACGAAAGGUCCUGGCCAGAAAUCUGGGGCUUCUCAUCAGGAAUGUAGCGGUCUGAUGUUCAAAACUGUUGGGAGUGUGGCAAAAGAUGAACCCCCAAGGCAUGGCUGCAAUAGUUGUUUGAAACAAGAAACAGGUACCCUUUUCAUGUCAUUCAUUUCACUGAUCACAGGGAAUCUGAGCCUGAAAGAAGGUGGAGGAGGACUCCUAGAGAGAACUUGCAACGGUUUGUCCCUUAAGAAGGGUAUAAUGCCAUUUUUAAUAUUUUUACCAAAUACCAGAGCAUGUAAUAAAAGUUUAUGGAUUGGGAAUUAAUUGAAAGAUUGUGAAAUGGGAAAGAAUGUGCGUUACAGGAAGCCUUGGAGAGCUACAACCUAAGCACCCUGAAACUGCGACCAAGCCCACAGAAUCUCUCUUGAGUUAUCGGAACCAUCUCAGAUGUAAUUUUUUUAUACACUUUACCAGCCCCAGUAAGCUCCCCCAGCCAGAUUGGGAAAAGACAUGCCUUUUAUUGAUGUUAGUCCAGGGGACUAAAGUGAAUUUUGUGUAGUCAAAUGUUUCAUUUAUGGAAUUAGCUACAGAAUUCAGGUUUUAAAAAUAAGCAGCAUGAAUUUGUAACUGGGAGAUGGUACAUGUUUUUAAAAAUGCUUUUCAAAAGAUGAUGUGCUUAUAUUUAAAGUCUGUUAUCUGCAACAUAAAGGUUUACAGUUUUAUAUGGAUUAAAUAACACAUCUAUAUGAUGAAA
Molecule: non-coding RNA, 11688 nt
Organism: Phalacrocorax carbo (great cormorant)
Lineage: Eukaryota; Metazoa; Chordata; Aves; Suliformes; Phalacrocoracidae
Source: RefSeq, a predicted model, not a curated record